RNAcentral lists this long non-coding RNA (4774 nucleotides) under Sorghum bicolor (sorghum). RNAcentral describes it as "long non-coding RNA (SBIC_LNC001635)". The record is from RNAcentral. Lineage: Eukaryota; Viridiplantae; Streptophyta; Magnoliopsida; Poales; Poaceae.
CCGGGCCCGGUGGUGCCCGGUGUGUGCGAGGCAGAGAGAGGGGCUUCCUUGCUUUGUUGACCAAAUGAAACGAAUUUGGUUUACGGGUAUAAAAUAAGAGUAAUAUAAUACGAUGCUUUGCUUUGUUGUGUUGUCAUCAGAAUAUAAACAAGUGGUUUAGGUGAGGUUGUGGUGGCGGUUUGGCGAGCACCACCACCGGGCGCGGUUUGGGAACCGAAUCUUCCAUUUUUUUAAGCAAAGGAUUUGUCUGUAUUAGCGCGGCCGGCCUAGUCGAUCUGUGAGAUUCAAGGGGGGUCUGUUUGGCUCUGGGCGAUGGAGAUGGAUGGCAUCAAUGUGGUCCGGGAAAUCGUCGGGGUCUUUUGCCAGGGCAGGGCGCGCAGGUUCCCGUGACGCUGGGAUCAGGUGGCCGGGGAGCACGAGAGUGGGAGCGGGUUGGACGACGGCUUUGACACAGGCCGGCCGGCGGCGGCUAGAAUGGGCACUGUGGCAGAAAAGCAUAUGUGCAAUUAUAGGAUUGUCACGUCUUUAACGCUAACGGUGCUGUGUGACUGUGUAUCUUCGGUUCUCCGGUGGGGUCCAGGCCAGGGACCGUGAGGGACGGUCGGCGUCGAUGAAAAGCAGAAAAGGUGAAGGAAAAGGUGGUGGAGUGGACCCGCCUUUGUUCUUCCAGCUCCAGUACUGGCCCAAGGGCCCAGCUACGAGCUUGAAGAUUCGGACCGGACUUUUUUGUCCUUGUAAAGCUAGAAGAUGCACUCAUAAUUUUAGAACUUAUUAUCGGUUUUAGUUCUAUGUUUUCACUUUUUGCCGCCUCAAAGUCAAAGACCUAGACAAGAUGUUUUUUUUUUCUUUUUAACACAUCUUUUAUCAACUACUAUUGGCUCCGUUUGACAAGGUUUAUAAGACAUCUUUAUUUAACCAUUAAUUAUUUUUUAUAAAUUUGUAUAAUUUAAUAACGUGCGAAUCAUAAAUUAUAUGUGAGAGUGUUUCUCAUGGUGACUCUAAAACCAUAACAAAACCUAUGAUUUUGAUCUAUAGGAAUUCUUAGGAAUUUAUGGUCAAAUAAUAGAGCUCUAUUAAUUACACGGACAAAGUGAUGUAAUCUUGAGCAACCGUUGGGAUCUGCUCAAGUUAAGUAAGCUAAACUGAGUAGCCACUUAACUAACUCAGUUUAGGCUAAUCAAACUGGUAAUCCCUAGAUGCGCACCACUUAUAUUCCACUAUCACGAAGUGUAGGAUAAGUUGUAGUAAAUACAAAUAUAACCACCAUAUAUUUCAAGAGCAUCUCAAAAGGCAGAAGACAAAUUGAAUAAAACAUUUAACUUCAUUGUGCUUAGAUGACACGGAGGUAAAUUGUUACUAGCCAUAAAAGUAGUCCCUCCAUUGUUCUCUUUUGGUUCUCUGAGUCUGUUCUAUUACUGAGUGAUGAGUCACCCAAUACUAGUCUACAGAGGGGUUUGUAUGCAAGUUAGGGAUUCUGCAAUGUGAGGAUCGGAAACACAAAGGACUGGAUGCCACUUGCCAAAGCUUGGCCUCAAGAGGAAUGUUAUCCCAACAAAAGAAACAAAGGAUGAGGAGUGCCACUCAGACCGACAGGCUUCCCUACUGGGACGAGUGGGCAUCUCGACGAGAUAAGCCUGGAAUGAGGAUUGACUAGUAGGUAAAAUUGGUCUUGAUGAUAGUUGAUCGAGAGAUAAGGUUAUCUCACAGAACCACUAUUCACAAGGAACAACUAGACUUGGCCAAGGACAUGGUUGAGAGAAAGAGAGAAACUUAAACAGGAGACAUCACUGUUAACAACUUAGGCUUGGUUAGGAAAGCUUUAAGAAUGAUGAAGAGGAUGGGUCGUUACAUUUCCAAUAAGUUGGAAAAUUCUUAACAAGCCAUGCUUGCCUUUUGUUUUUUAAAAAAAAUCAAGGACAUAUUUAACCUCUCUUCCGAAGACAACAUUUGACAAAGCUGUAGACGUAUUAGUACGAUCUCACCAACAAUUUAAUCUCUUUAUAGGCAAGACAUCCUUUUAUUUGUUUUUUAAGUUACUAGGAGCAUUGGUCCAUCACCAUGUAAGAACUUGGGUGGGCAUCCAUGUUUACCGCAUGCUCAAGCAUAAUUAAGGUUGUUCGAGUAGUCUCUGCGUACAACUAUUGAGUCAGGCUCGGUCCCUUGCUGGAAAAUACCUAGUGCAACACUAGAGUAUCCCAAAUUGGAUGGAACUCCAGCAGUUGCUCCUCACACGGAGGUGUAAUCACCGCACUACAAAUGUGAUUAUUUUCUCCCGAUGGUACACACAUACAAAUAUUGAAAUAUAUAGUUGUGGGGUGUUUGGUCUGUGGAACCAUCUCAACCUAGGUGAGAUAGUGCAUCACGAGUUCAGUUCAUGAUUUUGGUGGAACGACCCUAUUCCUUAUGCUUGUACUAUUUGUUACUCCCUCUAUUCAGAAAACAGUAACUGCAUUUGACUAGAGGGAAAAGUCAAACUUUACAAAUUGACUAGCCGUUAGUCAAACUAUAAGUAAAUUUAGGAUAUAACACUUGUAUCAAUAUAUUUUUUCAUAGUGCAUCUUAGAUGAUAAUUAUUUUAGCAAAUAAAUAUAUUAUAAGUGAAAUUGGGUUAAAAUAUAUUUUGUAUGACUCUUUUUUGGUCAAAUGGGCUUAUCAUUUCUGGAUGGAACACUAAGAGACACAGAGGCUUUGCCGAGUGUCUCUGGCACUCGGCAAAGGCCUAAAUACACUAGUCAAAUAUCAUCGAAGGAGUAGUUUGUAAGGGAUGAUUUAGAGAUAGACCACCUAUAAAACAGAAAUGAAAUGAGUGAGAAGAUGAUAAAUCAAUCCCUGCCUCAUCAAACAGUAGGAGUACUUGUUUACAUGCACACUGUUCUCGAUCAUCGAUGUCGUCCGUGACAUCAGACACGUAAAAGUGCUGGCAACUUGGCAUAUAUAUCAUCACAUAGGAAAAACACGUCAUUAUUGAGCACUUACACAUUCGCAUGACAACAAAAUAACCAAGUGCAAACGAACAGUUACACGAGAGAUCAAGAGACGAAACAACGUUUCGUAAUUAUUGUUACCACGCGCAGCUCCUCAAAAGUUCCUUUUCGCAUCAGAUGGACAGCUCCGUCGUCGCCAUCUCCUCCCUCUUCUGCAGCGCGUUCGCCUCCAUCUUGCAGCACUUGCACGGCGGGCUCACUAUCGGCACCGCGCCGCGCGCAUGCGCGUGCCCAUUCUGAGGUCCCUUGGCGUGGGCGUCCGUCUUCCGCGCGAUGAUGACGGAGUUGAUGACCUCGUCGUCCGGGUGGUACACGGCGAGCACGUCGAACCCGCCGCGCCGGAUGUCCUCAGGGUCGACGAUCGGGUACAGGAACCCGCGAGCCCCGUGCGCGCUCCGCACGACGAGCGCCGCCCCGUCCGCCAUGUGCCUGCCAAGGUGCGCCACCACCUUGGCCUUGUCCUCGGCCGCCAUGCCGACGAGGGCGGCCAGGAACACCACGUCGUACUUGCCGAGGCCGUCCGUGAGGCUGGCGACGUCGGCGGUGUGGAAGGACAUUCGCUUCCGCAGGCCCUCGUCCGCGCGGACCAGCUUCCGGGCACGGUCGUUGGCGGCGCCGCACCGGUCGUAGUUGUCGAACAGCGCGUUCGGCAGGUGGCGCGCGGCGAGCACGAGCGAGCUGAACGGCAGGGGGCCUGACCCGACGAAGGCGACGCGGGAAGGCGCCAGGCCCGGGACAUAGCGGACCAGGAGGUCGUACUCCAGCUUGCUCAGGUUGACGUAGUUGCUGAAGUAAGGGAAGCGGCCGAGGUGGUCGAGCGGGUUGUCGAAGCCGGCGAGCAUGUCGGCGUAGUGCGCCUCGAGGUGUCCCUCGGCGUCGGAGCAGAGGCGGAUGAGCUCCUCUCGCAUCCUCUGCGCGUCCGGGCCGAGCUUGGUCACGUCGACGGGGCUCGGUGGGACGCAGGCCAUGACGAGCUCGGUGAACAGCGCGUCGACGUCGGGGGACGGGCUCAGCGAUGGCAGCUUGGUGAUGGCGGCGUGCAGGCCGGUUAUCUUCUGCACCAGGGCAGAAACCUCCGUCUUUGCGUGGGCGUCGAUCUUGCGCGCGAUGAUGACAGAGUUGAUCACCUCGCCGUCCGGGUGGUACACCGUCAGAACGUCGAACCCGCCGCGACGGAUGUCCUCGGGAUCAACGAUGGGGUACAGAAACCCGCGAGCCCCGUGCGCGCUCCGCACGACGAGAGCCGCCCCGUCGGCCAUGUGCCUGCCAAGGUGCGCCACCACCUUGGCCUUGUCCUCGGCCGCCAUGCCGACGAGCGCCGCAAGGAAGACGACGUCGUACUUGCCGAGCUCGUCGGUCAGGUUGGCGACGUCCACCGUGUGGAAGGACAUGCGCGCGUUCAGGUCCUUGUCCGCACGGACCAGCUUCCGCGCACGGUCGUUGGCGGCGCCGCACCGGUCGUAGUUGUCGAACAGUGUGUUGGGCAGGUGGCGUGCGGCGAGCACGAGCGAGCUGAACGGCAAGGGACCUGACCCGACGAAGGCGACGCGGGAAGGCGCGAGCCCUGGGAUGUAGCGGACCAGAAGGUCGUACUCGAGCUUGCUCAGGUUGAUGUAGUUGCUGAAGUACGGGAAGCGACCGAGGUGGUCGAGCGGGUUGUCGAAGCCGCCGAGCAUGUCGGCGUAGUGCGCCUCGAGGUGGCCCUCGGCGUCGGAGCAGAGGCGGAUGAGCUCCUCCCGCAUCCUCUGGGCGUCCGGGCUGAGCUUGGUCACGUCGACGGGGCUCGGCGG